Molecule: long non-coding RNA, 508 nt
Filed under: Homo sapiens (human)
Lineage: Eukaryota; Metazoa; Chordata; Mammalia; Primates; Hominidae
Description: HSALNT0321041
Source: RNAcentral
GUGGUUGCUCAUUUCUCAAACUGCCGAACCCUUUCUUUUAUCUGCAUCCCUGCUAUUCGUUCCUCAAAAAGCCACCAGAAGGCCUCGGUGCCCCCUUUCCGCCUCGAUUUCUCUUUUCACCUCUUCCCAUUCCUCGAAAGGAUUAAAUGUUUAUCUCUCCAACGCGCAAGCUGGAAAGGCGGAAGGCGAAUGCCUCUAUGCUGCUCCGGCAAGCGCCUGCGGGGCUGCGAAAAGUAAAGGCAACGAACAACGUGGGGGAAAUCGUCGCGAAUCGAUCGGCCACAAUAGUUGGAAUCCCAGGAGCGCUCCAACUUACCCAAAAUAUGACAUUGAAGCCAAAUAUGAAGUAUUUGAUGCAACAACUGACUUCAGGACCCUUGUAGUGCUUCCCGGACAUCCUCUGGGUUCAUGAAGACACUUGCCCCGGCAGCCCGAGUUUGGAGCUCCGAAGCACCGUUGCUCGGAGCAGCCCGGCGGGGAGCAGGAGCUCAGGGACACCGCACGGGGC